RNAcentral lists this ribosomal RNA (158 nucleotides) under Pseudochaetosphaeronema ginkgonis. RNAcentral describes it as "5.8S ribosomal RNA". It matches the Rfam family "5.8S ribosomal RNA". Rfam says of the family: 5.8S ribosomal RNA (5.8S rRNA) is a component of the large subunit of the eukaryotic ribosome. It is transcribed by RNA polymerase I as part of the 45S precursor that also contains 18S and 28S rRNA. Functionally, it is thought that 5.8S rRNA may be involved in ribosome translocation. The record is from RNAcentral. Lineage: Eukaryota; Fungi; Ascomycota; Dothideomycetes; Pleosporales.
AACUUUCAACAAUGGAUCUCUUGGUUCUGGCAUCGAUGAAGAACGCAGCGAAAUGCGAUAAGUAGUGUGAAUUGCAGAAUUCAGUGAAUCAUCGAAUCUUUGAACGCACAUUGCGCCCCUUGGUAUUCCAUGGGGCAUGCCUGUUCGAGCGUCAUUUA